This 521-nucleotide ribosomal RNA is filed under the name uncultured bacterium. Its description in RNAcentral is "bacterial SSU rRNA". It matches the Rfam family "Archaeal small subunit ribosomal RNA", at positions 345 to 866 of the family's 1478-position model. The record is from RNAcentral.
AACCUCCGCAAUGUGAGAAAUCGCGACGGGGGGAUCCCAAGUGCCAUUCUUAACGGGAUGGCUUUUCAUUAGUGUAAAGAGCUUUUGGAAUAAGGGCUGGGCAAGACCGGUGCCAGCCGCCGCGGUAACACCGGCAGCUCUAGUGGUAGCAGUUUUUAUUGGGCCUAAAGCGUCCGUAGCCGGUUUAAUAAGUCUCUGGUGAAAUCCUGUAGCUUAACUGUGGGAAUUGCUGGAGAUACUAUUAGACUUGAGACCGGGAGAGGUUAGAGGUACUCCCAGGGUAGAGGUGAAAUUCUGUAAUCCUGGGAGGACCGCCUGUUGCGAAGGCGUCUAACUGGAACGGUUCUGACGGUGAGGGACGAAAGUUAGGGGCGCGAACCGGAUUAGGAUACCCGGGUAGUCCUAACUGUAACGAUGCGGACUUGGUGUUGGGGUGGCUUUGAGCUGCUCCAGUGCCGAAGGGAAGCUGUUAAGUCCGCCGCCUGGGAAGUACGGUCGCAAGACUGAAACUUAAAGGAAUU